UACGUAGGGAGCGAGCGUUGUCCGAAGUUACUGGGCGUAAAGGGCGCGUAGGCGGCCACUGCAAGUCGGUUGUGAAAUCUCCGGGCUUAACCCGGAAAGGUCAAUCGAUACUGCAGGGCUAGAGUGCAGAAGGGGCAACUGGAAUUCUCGGUGUAGCGGUGAAAUGCGUAGAUAUCGAGAGGAACACCUGCGGCGAAGGCGGGUUGCUGGGCUGACACUGACGCUGAAGCGCGAAAGCUAGGGGAGCGAACGGG
This 254-nucleotide ribosomal RNA is filed under the name uncultured bacterium. Its description in RNAcentral is "partial 16S ribosomal RNA". It matches the Rfam family "Bacterial small subunit ribosomal RNA", at positions 524 to 776 of the family's 1533-position model. The record is from RNAcentral.